This is a long non-coding RNA of Gasterosteus aculeatus aculeatus (three-spined stickleback), 6058 nucleotides long. The record is from Ensembl. NCBI's taxonomy places the organism in Eukaryota, Metazoa, Chordata, Actinopteri, Perciformes, Gasterosteidae.
UGAGAGUUGAGCAACUCACGUUUGUUCUCGUUGUCCGGCAUGUGCUGAAGUCUGGGUUGCUCUGUUUUUUUGCUCGCCAGUACCGUGUGUGUGAGCAAACUACACUAAGCAGAGCUUUUAUUGAAAUAUUCCACAACAAUUUGGCGUCACGAACAGGAUUCACUGACCGUCCGUCAGGCUCCAGGGGACCGUCCGGGGAAAAAGGCCUUUUCCAGGAUCACCAGCUGAUGAUCCUGCCUCAUACCUCCUUAGACAAGAGAGAAAGGACCGGCGGAAACCAGAGGAGUCCUGAUUGACGUCACGCGUAUCCAGCGAAGAAGAAUUAAUUUCUGCAAACUCGGGUAAGAAGUUGAAAUUCCGAUUAUAAAGUAACAGUAAGAGUUGAACAUAACGGAGACAGAUGACUGAUCAAGUGGUUGUUAUACAAGUGGUUGUUAUAGUCUGGGGAAUAAAAUUAUUUUUUAACAUUUUUUUUUUUUUUUCCUUAUAAUAAUCUUUUAAUAUCUUUUUUGAGUACAUGAUUCCGGGAUAUUUCUAAUGCAUCAUUUUAUGCGAAGGUAGAUAGGAUCGUGUACGAUUUCAAACAAAUUCUCUGAGAUCGUAACAUCGCUAGACUACAAGUAGAAGACAGGAUUGCUUACGGUAAAGAUUUCACUCGGAUCAAAUUCUCCGAGAUCGUAACGCAGAUAGCAAAUAAGACCGUUGCUAUUGACCACACGUGAAUUCCACCUGUGGAAUAAGAUCGUGGAAAUAGCCUACGUGAAUUUUAUGCUGAAGCAGGUAAAACGAUAUCACUCUUAUUGUUAACCAAACGUGAGUUCUACUGAAUUACCUUUAGAAUAAGAUCAUGGCAAUAUCGAAGCGUGAGUUUUACACUGAAAAACAUUCAAAACGAUAUCACUGUUAUUGUUAACCAAAUGUGAGUUCUACUGAAUUACCUUUAGAACAAGAUCGUGGCAAAAUCGAAGCGUGAGUUUUGAGUGGGGUUUUUGCAAAGUUUUUCCGGGUGAGUAAAGAAACUAAGCCUUACGGUGACGACUGUAUUGUAAUAAGUAAACCGGUAGGGUCCACCAGUAAAAGAUGGGUAGCCAGUCCGCAAAACACACGGAACGUCGGGUCCGAUUGUGGCAAUGAUGCAGCAGAAAUACGGGAAAACAUGUACAGAGUGUCUCCCAUACUGGACAAAAGAGUUUGGGUUUCCAGAAAACGGCUCGUUGAGUGCCGCUAAACUUAAAAUGUUAAAAGGAGAUUUGGACGCAAAGUUAAAAAAAAAUAAAAAUUGAAAAGUGGUAAAAAGAUCAAAGUUAAAGACUUGGAAAUAAUAGAGAAAAACCAGACAUGUCUGGCACAAUGGGAAAUGGAAUGUGAAUGCAGGGAGAGAAAACGAAUGAUGAAGAAAAUGACGUGUUUAAAAACUGAAAAAACCUGACAUUGAAACACAGAAUAAUCCAUGUGUGUCUUCUCCAUUGUAUCCAUCCCUGACAGGGGCAGGCGGUCCUCUCCUGAACACGUGUUGUCAAAUUCCUGCACCACCUCCAGUCCAACAAUCACCACCACCAUACAACCCCGAUCCUACGGUUGGCAGACCUGUAACACGCAGUCAAACCCGGCUGGGAGACCAGGGAGGUGCAGACGUCAAAUCAUGCUCACCCCUCAACCCAUUGAGACCUGACCCCACAGCUCAGUCCACCCCGGACUCUGCAUGGUCAAUCCACGACCCAUCCCCCUGGAGGGGCACAGCCGGCAGAAUUGUGAAUUUUCUUAGUCCUAACACCACCAUGGACAGUAAACUGGACGGGUCUUAUAUUCAAGCCCCCAUGUUUCAAGUUCCAGGGCCACAGGAUGGACUACCUGCCUCCCAUCUGCCCACCAUAAAAAAUGGCGUGGCUUUUGGAAAAGAGUUCCUGACGUUAUGCAAAGACAUAACAGCCAUCUGUGCUGCUGUGGUUGCGGCCUUCCAAGUCAACAUGGCCCUCAUCAACAGCACGAAACAAGAUGCAUACAAAGAUAUGCCAACUACAAGAGUAAUUGUGGAAUUACUGCAUUGUGAUCUGUGUUGACUGUCUACAACGCGGGUGCCUCACAAGAAAGAAGGUUUGCAGACUCCACAUCCCAACGUGUACCUGCGGACCAACACAAGAAGAAGAACAUGGCCAGAACCCCUUCACAUAGACACAGUAGUAUUUUCGCAAAUCCUUCAGUCUGCUGAUUGUGCUCCCCGGAGAUCUGAACUAAAAAGGCCAAGUUGGGAGCCCUACACGACUGAGGGGCCGAGAGUACCCAACGGCUCUCCUCCGGACCGUAUCCCUCCCAGUCCAGGUAACUUCUGCCAUGGCGACGUACAUCCAGGAGCCAUUGAAUGGAGUUGGCAUGAUACCCGUUAAUCAUCUGGGUGGGUGGCGGGAGAACUGGUGGAGGGCACAGUGGGCUGGUGGACACCGGUUUCAACUGUGACUCAUGGAAUGUGGGAUGGACCCUCAUGGUGCGGAGAAGUUCCAGUCGCAGAGCUGUAGGGUUACUUAUCUUCUCCACAACGAAGGUAACGUUGUGCCAGUUUCUCUGAUUCAGUCUUUAUUGGAAUAUGUUUGGAGGAAAGCCAUAGUUUCUGACCUGGUUUGUAUGCAGAAGCUGGUGUCCGGUGGCGGUUUGCAAUGCGCUGGUUGUUUUCAGCUGAGCGGAGUAGGGCAGAGCGGGUGUAUCCCCAGACCUUAUGGCAGCGGCGGAGGUGCAUUUGAACUGAUGGGACAGCUAUGUCACCCUCUAGAGAGGGAAACAGGGGCGGCUGAGACAAACCUCUGGCAGUGCUGGUCAGGGAAUUAUGGGCGUAUUCAAUCCAUGCGAGUUGUGCGCUCCAGGCAGUGUGAUUGGCGGCGGUUACACACCGUAGAGCAGGAUGGGUGGUGAGGUGAAGCUCCUUCUUAGCUCUUAGCCUUGGGGGUCCACGUGAAAGGGGUGGAGGUGAGUUUGGUUAACGGAGCCGCUAUCUUGCUGUAGUCUCUGAUGAACCGACGAUAGAAAUUAGCGAACCCCAGGAACCGCUGUAAUUCCGGUUGUGGGGUCUGGGCCAGUUUGUCACAGCCUUGAUCUUCUCUGGGUCAGCCCUUACCUGCCCACUAGCAAAAAUGUACCCCAGAAAAGCGACUGAACAAGCGUGGAACUUGCAUUUCUCGGCUUUCACAUAGAGCUGUUCUCCAGGAGUCUCUGGAGAACCUGACAGACGUGGGAGACAUGAUCGGAAAGAUCAUCCAGGUAAACAAACACAAAACGAUUGAGAAAGUCACUUAGCACGUUAUUAACAAAUGCUUUGAAAAACUGCAGGAGCGUUUGUGAGGCCGAACGGCAUCACCAGAUACUCAAAAUGCCCCAGUGGAGUGUUGAAACCAGUCUUCCAUUCUUCCCCCUCCCUGAUUCUGACCAGGUGGUAGGCACUCCGGAGAUCCAGCUUUGUGAAGACUGUUGCGCCCUGGAGUGGCUCAAAAGCAGAGUUUAUUAGUGGUAGGGGGUACUUGUUCUUAAUGGUUAUAUUGUUCAACCCACAAAAGUCAAUACAUGGUCGGAGGGAGUGGUCCUUUCAUGGAAACAAAAAAGAAUCCAGCACCAACUGGGGAUGAGGAUGGUCUGAUUAUACCAGCACUCAGUGACUCCUUGAUAUACUUUUCCAUUGCUUCCCUCUCUGGACGGGCCAAGUUAUAGAGCCGACUAGUUGGAAGAGGAGCACCGGAGAGGGGUGAGGGGGAGAGGAGAGCGCUAAGUUCUUACUGAACACCAAACCCAAAUCAUGAUACUCUGCAGGUAUGGUGGAUAGAUCUGGAGGCUUGGAGCUUGAUGGUGAUAUGGCAACAUCUGCUAGGGACAGGUCUGACCUCCAGCCCCAGACACAAACUGCUGACCAGUCAAUGUGUGGGUUGUGUGUCUGUAACCAACAUGCAACAACCUAAACUAACACUAAAACAUUUUAAUGGGCACGCACAACUGUCACAUGUUCUGCCGUUGAGGUAAGUAUAUUGUAACUAUAUUAUACACCAGGGGUGCCGAAACUUUUACGGCUUGCGAGCUACUUUUCAACUACUUUUCGUCAUGGCGAUGGCGGCUGGGGGGGGUGGGGGGGAUCGACUGGUCGAUCGACGUAUUGAGCACCCCUGUUAUACACCAUAUCAAUCUCUUCUGCACAAACAAAGUUCUACUCGGUUCAGAGGUAUCUCCUGAUCAAAUCAAAUGCAUGUUGAUCAAAUUAAAAAAAAUGUAAAAAUUCCUUUUCCAAAAUCUUGUUUUAAAAUGAUGACAUGGCUACUGUCACGGUUUGGGUUCACGUCUUGUUUUAUUUUGUAGUUUCAUGCCUUCAAUUUGUUGUAAGCAGCGUACCGACUUGUGAACUAUGCAGGUGUGAAAAGUGCCAUCGGGCCACAGUGCUGAAUCAACAUCCUUUUUUAAAUUAUUUUUUUCUUCUUUUAAUAGCUGGUUCAAACUAAAUGAAUAGAGCUGUUAAAGAGCAUGUUAGAAAGUAUUGUCAUCUCAUCAGGUUCUGUAACCUAACGUGACAUAUGUUCAUUGCUAACAGUGUAACAUAUCAUGAGUUUCUAUUUACAAUUGAUAAAAUGCCAACGUGUAAAGGCAAUUAGUAAAGUAUUAUGUUCCACUGAACUUUACAGAGCAGUUUGGCAUCUUUGUUUUGACUUUAGAGCAAAUAUGUCAAACUCAAGGCCCGCCAAUAUAUUGUAUAUUUAGCUGCCAGCAACAACAGAAUAGAAACCUCAGGUCACUCUCUCCCCCUGGUGGUACACAAUAACUGUAACACAAAAAACAUCAAGCUGCUCUCGCUCUCUGAGCCUAACAAGAACAGCUACUGCAGGAUAUUCCCCCUGCAAGGUGACUUCUGCUUGCUGUGUGUGUGUGAAUUCAAAACAUCGGGUCCAGCUUACAUCCAGGACAUGGUCAAACCCAACAUCCCGACCCGCACUCUCCGCUCUGCAUCUGCAAAACUGCUCGUCCCUCCCUCACUGAGAGCAAAACACUCGACUAGAUCUCGACUCUUUGCUGUCCUUGCUCCCAAAUGGUGGAACGAGCUCUCUGAAGACACCAGGACCGCAGAGAGCCUUCACAUCUUCCGCCGCAAACUAAAGACACACCUCUUCAGACUCUACCUAGACUAAAGACUAACAAAUUGUAGCACUUAAAUUGUACUUAUAACGCCACUCAUCUAUAGCAAAUUGUAAAUUGGCUUAUUUGAUGAAAUAGCACUUUCUUGUUUCUCGUUCUUCUGAGUUUGUACCCUAUGGUUGAAUGCACUUAUUCGCUUUGGAUAAAAGCGUCAGCUAAAUGACAUGUAAUGUAAUGAUAUUAAAAAGCCAAAGCGCUGCAUGUUCCCGAUACAAAUAAUAAGAGACAUAAUUAAAUGUCCUGUUGCGAUAUUAGUUUUUGGCUCCAUAAGGUUGUUUUCACGAAGUCUUUAGAUUGUUCAAACAAAGAAGAAGCAGCAUCAAUUAAAUACUUGAUGAAUCAUGGUAGCAAAGGCUGAUACACCGCAGCUAUUUACAGCUAUGCAGGAUGUCUCCAUUUUGUUUAUGUGUACGAGUGUGACAAAUCUAAAAGCAAGUAGACACAAAAUAACAUUUGCUGUUUGUAACUGUUCUUAACUUUAAAUUAUGAAUGACAAUAAUACACUAAUAUUCCAAGGUGAAUGAUGCAGUAUUUUACUAAAUAAAACAUCACUUGUAUUUUCCUUCUUGUAUUGCAAUGCAGACUAGAUCGCCAGUUUUAUGGGCAACAUUUCACUCUGAGUGCCUUUGUUCGAUAGUGCACUUUAUGUUUAAUAUUUUUUAACUUUUUAAAUACUUAAAAUUUUUAACUUUAACUUUAUUCUCUUGUUUUAUACUAACCCAUAGCCUUAUUCUACUAAACCAUUGCAUUAGCAUUUCAUUUUAUUACUUGUGCAGUGCUGUCUUGUUGUCUAUUGUUACACUGUCUACUGUCACGCACCAACCGCCAAGACAAAUUCCUUGUAUGUUUGACAUAUUUUGGCAAUAAAUGUUUCCUGAUUCCUGAUUUGACUAAUGAAGUG